AAAAAGAGGUGGCAGUACAAGAUGUGAACUGGAAUCACAAAAAGGAGCCCGGUCCUGGCUCGGAGUCUCUGUCAGGUGACCUCAACUGAGUGGUUUAAUCUCCCUGGAGACUUGGGUGCUUAAUCUUUAAUAUGAAGCAGCUAAACAAGUGCCGGCCUUGAGAUAAGGAACGUUAAAACAAUUGCAACUCAUCCAGCUCACAGACAGUAACUAACUGAGCUCCUGUUCCACUCACCAUGACUACAGCUUUAACAGCACAAGAGACUGAUUUCAGUAACUUCCUCCUGACAAGAAGACCACCAACCAUGAACUGGUUUUGGCAAUUUAUAGAGACUGGGCACUUGUGUGCCUUCACGUUCUGAAAAGACCUUUUGACAUAUAAGGCCUAAUUGUAAUAAAUGUCAAUGUUAAGUGUCCACCCCAAAAUGAACAUAGGUUGUAUGUUAUAUGCAUGUUUUCUCAAUAUGCAUGUGUCAGGACCACUGUCACGAAUAUUCACAGCUCCUACUGUAACCUGCUGAAUAUGUAUGUUUAACCUACCUGUUUAGCAUAAAGCUCCUGCUCCAAUCUCUCCUUCUUCGAAGUUCCUAUCUCUGGUCUCUGACCAAAUUCAUGCUUCCUGGCCUGCAAGACGGCAACCUUGCAGGCUGUACCCCUUUAUGAGAAAUACGGUCUCCUCUAAAUUUACAAAUGUGUG
RNAcentral lists this long non-coding RNA (697 nucleotides) under Pan troglodytes (chimpanzee). RNAcentral's name for it is "long non-coding RNA NONPTRT016680". Lineage: Eukaryota; Metazoa; Chordata; Mammalia; Primates; Hominidae. The record is from RNAcentral.